UGCUGACAAUGGAGAAACUGAAGUAAUUUCGUUUGUCAUAAAGUUGUGUUGUUAGAUUGUUAUCAACAUCUAUACUGUAUUGAAAGGUGAAGCAGAUAUGGAAGACUGAUGUCCGUUCUUUGAAGUUCAAGGGUUUGGAAUAUGAUGUCUCCAACAAGAAUAGGUUUGAUGAUUGUUACCAUGGAAACGAACUCAUGGACCUAUGUCACAAAUGUCUGUUUUUGGUUUCGAAUAUGAUGUCUCCAGCAUGGAUAUGUUUGACGAUUGUUACCAUGGAAACGAACUCACGGACCAACAUGUUUGAACAUGAUGCAUCCAGCAAAGAUAUGUUUGGUGAUGGUUACCAUGGGAACGAACUCACGGACCUAUGUCAAAAAUGUCUUUUUCUGAUAAAAUAGACAUACAUGUAAUGCUAUCCAUUUCACUCAAUUAGAUAUUUUUAAUUAUUCUGAUGUCAUCUAUACACAUCCAGUUUCUCUACAGGUUUUGAAUAUGAUGUCUGCAGCUAGGAAAUGUUUGAUGAUGGUUACUAUGGAAAUGAACUCUUAUACCUAUUUAAAAAUGACAUUUUCUGUUAAAUUAAAAAUAAUGCUAUUUACUUUAAUCACUUUAGGAAUUUGUUCAUUGCUCUGAUAUCAGUUCCACACUUCCUUUUAGACAAAUAGUAAAUUUCAGUAAGUUAUGAUGUCUCCAGCAAGGGUAUCUUUGAUAUUCGUUACCAUGUAAACGAACUCACGAACCUAUCUAAAAUGUAUUUUUUCGAUAAGAUAAAUUCAAUAUCUAUUUCACUCAUUUUUAGGAUUUUUUAAUUGCUCUGAUGUCAGUACCAUACCUCCUUAAUUAAAAUCGUUGCUCUCUUUAAAAAGAAUUCAAGCCUGCAUCAGUUCUUUAUAUAGAAAUGUUGUAAUUAAUAAAAUAUAUCUGAAAUUGAAUUAAAGAGAUCAUCAAAUCAAUUAUAAGAUUUCCAAAUGCAAUUUUACGAGCGAUAAUUCCACCACAUUGAUGCGCAUAUCAGCUGAAUUGAUGAGAACAAUAACUGAAUUCAUGCACUUAUCAAAUCAAUUAUUGCUCUCAUCAAUUGAAUUAAUGCGCACAUCAAAUCAAAUAUUAUUCACAUCAAUUGAAUUGAUGCUCUCAUCCAUUGAUUUAAUGCGUGCAUCAAUUCAAUAAUUGAAUCAAUGAAAUCUUCAAAUGAUUCAAUUUAAAGUAUAUCCAAUGAUUUGAGUUUACGUUAAUAUAACGCCCCCUAUAGAUCGCUGGCGUGUGGUAAUUGAUUUUUAUGACGUUUUCAAAAAAUUAGUUUCGUUUUAAAUGUUAAGAAAUCCUUUUAUUAGCACAUGAUUUUGUGAAUCAUCAAAAAAAAAUUUUUGUUUCCGUUCAGUAUGCAUGAGUCAUAAAGGUCCUAAUCCCAGAAGACUUUAUAGGGCUCACGGCGGGUGUGACCGGUCGACAGGAAAUGCUCACUCCUCCUAGGCACUUGAUCCCAUAUCUGACAAAGGCUGUUACAUAAAAGAACCAACAACAACAAGAGCGACGCCUACUAUAGCAAUGACAACAACCAUAGCAACGACAACACAGUCAGUGUCGACUGAAAGCAGAGAUUCAAACUAUUCAACCCAGGGAAUCUCACGUAAUGAAACCAUGUUGGAAAUGAAUUCCUGUUCAACAGAAACCGGUUUUUUGAUUUUCUUUAUCCUCACUACUGUCUCUCUCGGUAUGGUUAUCGCUCUGUUGAAAAUACAGAGAUUAAACAAGUUCUGCAGAAAUAUAGCGAAAAGCUGCAGAAAAGAACAUCCAAAAGACAAAUAUGGUGGAGAAAGUUUGAAUGGUGGUGAAAAUAUAAAUAGUGGAGAAAAUAUACCAAUGGCGGAAGGGAACAACGAUGCAAACGCUUGAAAGCAACUUGGAAUCAUUCUUUCAAAGAAAUUGAAUGCUGACUUUGGAAGUUCAUGGUAUAUCACAAGUUAUAGUUGUCAACUAAUUAUUGCUGCAUGAUUGGACCGUCUUUAGUAAUUUUCUCUUUACGUGUUGCGUUUCCAACAACUGGAAGAGUCGGGGGAAAGCUUGUUGAUACAUCAUAUAACGAACCUCAGUCAGUCGUAGCUAGGUGUGGAAGAUAUUACCGGUGUUGCGAUUCCCCUUUAGUCAAUUUUGCCAUUUGUGUGUUCUUUACUCCUCCUCUUUGGUACAUCUUCCAGUCACAACCCCUCUUUGACGAUUUCCAUGAUCCGCUCCUGUUUGUAAUUAUAAACUUUAAUGGAGAGAGUGAAAGUGCAAGAUAACAGGCGGACACUCUGGAAAUUAUAUAGCUUCUGUAGCUAUAAAUACAGAUUAUUUUAUAUGUACAUUUCUCUGAAAUGUUGUUGACCUCUUGAUAUGCAUUUAAUAUAGUAUACUAGCUAUACCAGUACAUUUAUAUGAUCUAUUUUGUGGCCACUCGAUUAUCAUUUAUAUCUGAAUAAAUCCAAUGGUCAAACGCAUAUUUAUCAAAAAACAAAUAAAAAAAAUCUUCAUUAAAUAGAUUUCAUCUUCUUUAUAAACAUAUUUUGACCUCUAUACAUUUGUCAUUGAUAAUAAAUCUUCAGAAAAUGUUGAUCGAGAAUUUAGGCUGUACACUAGAAAUAUUGUCAAUAUUACCUAUAAUAAGAAAUGUAUAACAACUCUAUUACAUGAUUGUGUUAAGUUAUAGAUAUCAUAAUUCUUCAUUUCUAUAAUAAUUACACUGUAUUUAAGUCAUACAUUAUUUUAUUACAUUUGUGCAAUUACAUACUUGUAUAUAUGUACAGCCUUUACAAUGUAGGAUACCGGUGCCCUUUAGUAUAUGAAUAUGAUAAUAUGUAUCAAUAAUGGUUUACUAUUUUGCCUGCUUUAAUUUAUUUACAUUAUUUCAUACAUGUGAACGUUCACUAUACAGUAUUUCUAUUUUUAUGUCUCCACUCUUUCAGGGGGAGAUAUGUUGUUUUUUUACUUUCUUUCCGUCCGUUUUUCUGUCACAAAAUCUUGUGAACGCUUCUCCUCUUAUAUGGUUUACUGGAUAGACUUGAAACUUUGUACAAUGCUUCAUUUCCAUUUGCAGAUGUGCAUAUUCGUGGGACAAGAGGAUCCGAUGAAUGUAAUAAAAGUAAUUGUGGAUCUAAGAAGGGUGGAGGAUGUAAAAUAGCUUGUGAACACUUCUCCUCCUAUAUGGCGUAUCUGAUAGAUUUGAAACUUUGUAAAAUGUUUCAUUGCCAUUUGUAGAUGUGCAUAAUGGAGGGACGGGGGAAUCCAAUUAUUUUCAUAAACGUUAUAGUGGAUCUAAUAGGGGUGGGGGUGUAAAAUAGCAUGUGAACACUUCUCCUAUAUAACUAAUUGGAUAGAGUUGAAACUUUGUACAGUGUUUCAUUGUCAUUUGUAGAUGUCCCAUAUUAUUGAGACAGGAGAAUCAAAUAAUUUUCAUAAAACUUAUAGUGGAUCUAAGAAAGGGAUGUUAAGAUAGCUUGUGAACGCUUCUCCUCCUAUAUGGCUUAUCUGAUAGACUUGAAAUUUUGUACAAUAAUUCAAUGUCAUUUGCAGAUGUGCAUAUUGUAGGGACAGGAGGAUCCAAUUGUUAUCCCUGAAAUUAUAGUGGAUCGGAGGGGUGCAGGGUGUAAAAUUGUUUGUGAACUCUUAUCCUUUGUGGAUUACCGGAGUUCAUAAUGUCUAUGUUCCUGUUCAUGCUUUCUCCGUACCAUGCAGUACAUUAAGAGAAGGAGGUUUCAUUUGGAGCACAUCCAAUUUGGGGAGCUGGGGAGACAUUUAUUUUUCAUAACAACAAUUUCUAGUUCAUUUCUCUGUUACUAUAAAAAUGUUCAUGAUAUGGGGAACAUAUUAAUGUUCUUUUUUUUUCUUUUUUCUUUUGUUUGCAAACAUUCAAUUUCUCAAUAUUAGCGAGCUAAGUUUGCUUUAACAUUGUAUGUUCCGAAUUUCGACUAAUAUUGUCCACCUUGUAAAAGAACUUGAAUGAUCGCACGUACGGAUGUAGGAGGUUACAUGACAUGUCAGUUUUCAAUUGUUUGAACCAGAAUUAUUUGGUUUUAAAUGGGUGUUUAUAAACAACUGUCACUCGGCCAUUUCUAUUGCAUGUUCAGAAAACAAAUCAAGUAGCAGUCACGUGUCCUGUGCAGACUUGCAGAGGUAAGAUCACCGAUGGUCUUAUCUGUGUAUAACUGUGUAGUUUGUAACUACAGUUCCAUGAAAGAUGAAGACCAAUGUCAUAACUCCUAUAACCAUAGUACCAUGCCAUCAUUGUAAGAGAAAUAAAAGUAUCAAAUACCUCCUA
Molecule: RNA transcript, 4297 nt
Organism: Ostrea edulis (European flat oyster)
Lineage: Eukaryota; Metazoa; Mollusca; Bivalvia; Ostreida; Ostreidae
Exons: 9
Source: RefSeq, a predicted model, not a curated record